GAUGAACGCUGGCGGCGUGCUUAACACAUGCAAGUCGAACGAAGCACUUUAUUUUAUUUCCUUCGGGACUGAUUAUUUUGUGACUGAGUGGCGGACGGGUGAGUAACGCGUGGGUAACCUGCCUUGUACAGGGGGAUAACAGUUGGAAACGGCUGCUAAUACCGCAUAAGCGCACAGCAUCGCAUGAUGCAGUGUGAAAAACUCCGGUGGUAUAAGAUGGACCCGCGUUGGAUUAGCUAGUUGGUGAGGUAACGGCCCACCAAGGCGACGAUCCAUAGCCGAACUGAGAGGGUGACCGGCCACAUUGGGACUGAGACACGGCCCAAACUCCUACGGGAGGCAGCAGUGGGGAAUAUUGCACAAUGGGCGAAAGCCUGAUGCAGCGACGCCGCGUGAGCGAAGAAGUAUUUCGGUAUGUAAAGCUCUAUCAGCAGGGAAGAUAAUGACGGUACCUGACUAAGAAGCACCGGCUAAAUACGUG
This 481-nucleotide ribosomal RNA is filed under the name uncultured bacterium. Its description in RNAcentral is "partial 16S ribosomal RNA". It matches the Rfam family "Bacterial small subunit ribosomal RNA", at positions 28 to 507 of the family's 1533-position model. The record is from RNAcentral.